RNAcentral lists this unclassified non-coding RNA (392 nucleotides) under fungal sp. Its description in RNAcentral is "partial internal transcribed spacer region". The stretch from base 1 to 46 matches the Rfam family "Eukaryotic small subunit ribosomal RNA", at positions 1786 to 1831 of the family's 1831-position model. Lineage: Eukaryota; Fungi. The record is from RNAcentral.
AAGUCGUAACAAGGUUUCCGUAGGUGAACCUGCGGAAGGAUCAUUAACACGUAUCCAAACGUUAAACCCCCCUGUGAACCUUCAGUCGUACUCGUACGUCCGUUAGAAAAAGCAGCAAUCCCUGGUAAAUCAUCGCCGAACAGUUUUCGAUUCAGGGACGUCUGCAAGGAGCGUGCAUGUUGUGCGUGUAAGUGGCCUGGUAUCCCCAAGCAGUUAGUGUCUGAAAGUGUCACUAACGUUAGUGUCUGAAAGUGUCACACACGGCCGACGACCGGGUCACCGGGUGCAAGCCCCCUUAUCACACCCCUGCUCUAUCUAUGGUGAUCCUGCGGGAAGUCCUGCGGUCGAACGCCGAAACCGAACAACUGUUAACAAUGGAUAUCUUGGUUCUC